ACGAACGCUGGCGGCGUGCUUAACACAUGCAAGUCGAGCGGUAAGGCCCUUUCGGGGGUACACGAGCGGCGAACGGGUGAGUAACACGUGGGUGACCUGCCCUCAGCUCUGGGAUAAGCCCGGGAAACUGGGUCUAAUACUGGAUAUGACUCCACGGUGCAUGCCGUGGGGUGGAAAGCCUUGUGCGGCUGAGGAUGGGCCCGCGGCCUAUCAGCUUGUUGGUGGGGUGAUGGCCUACCAAGGCGACGACGGGUAGCCGGCCUGAGAGGGCGACCGGCCACACUGGGGCUGAGACACGGCCCAGACUCCUACGGGAGGCAGCAGGUGGGGAAUCUUGCGCAAUGGGCGAAAGCCUGACGCAGCGACGCCGCGUGAGGGAUGACGGCCU
RNAcentral lists this ribosomal RNA (388 nucleotides) under uncultured bacterium. Its description in RNAcentral is "bacterial SSU rRNA". It matches the Rfam family "Bacterial small subunit ribosomal RNA", at positions 29 to 417 of the family's 1533-position model. The record is from RNAcentral.